CAGUCGCCACGGGAAUACGUAGGGUGCGAGCGUUAAUCGGAAUUACUGGGCGUAAAGCGUGCGCAGGCGGUUGUGUAAGACAGGUGUGGAAUCCCCGGGCUUAACCUGGGAACUGCGCUUGUGACUGCACAGCUAGAGUAUGGCAGAGGGGGGUGGAAUUCCACGUGUAGCAGUGAAAUGCGUAGAGAUGUGGAGGAACACCGAUGGCGAAGGCAGCCCCCUGGGCCAAUACCGACGCUCAUGCACGAAAGCGUGGGGAGCAAACAGGAUUAGAUACCCCCGUAGUCCCUGUCUCUUAUAC
This 301-nucleotide ribosomal RNA is filed under the name uncultured bacterium. Its description in RNAcentral is "partial 16S ribosomal RNA". It matches the Rfam family "Bacterial small subunit ribosomal RNA", at positions 509 to 807 of the family's 1533-position model. The record is from RNAcentral.